RNAcentral lists this microRNA precursor (119 nucleotides) under Glycine soja. RNAcentral's name for it is "MIR4374 microRNA precursor family". It matches the Rfam family "MIR4374 microRNA precursor family". Lineage: Eukaryota; Viridiplantae; Streptophyta; Magnoliopsida; Fabales; Fabaceae. The record is from Rfam by way of RNAcentral.
CAAAGAUGGUGCUUACCUCAGCAACGUCUUUGAAAGUAGGCAUUCUAAGACGUUGCUGAAGUAAGCACCGUCUUUGAAUGCCUACUUUCAAAGACGUUGUUGAGGUAAGCACCGCCUUU